UACGUAGGGGGCGAGCGUUAUCCGGAAUUAUUGGGCGUAAAGAGUGCGUAGGUGGUUUUUUAAGCGUGGGGUGAAAGGCAAUGGCUCAACCAUUGUAAGCCUUGCGAACUGGAAGACUUGAGUGCAGGAGAGGAAAGCGGAAUUCCUAGUGUAGCGGUGAAAUGCGUAGAUAUUAGGAGGAACACCAGUGGCGAAGGCGGCUUUCUGGACUGUAACUGACACUGAGGCACGAAAGCGUGGGGAGC
RNAcentral lists this ribosomal RNA (245 nucleotides) under uncultured Anaerovorax sp. RNAcentral's name for it is "partial 16S ribosomal RNA". It matches the Rfam family "Bacterial small subunit ribosomal RNA", at positions 524 to 769 of the family's 1533-position model. Lineage: Bacteria; Bacillati; Bacillota; Clostridia; Peptostreptococcales; Anaerovoracaceae. The record is from RNAcentral.